RNAcentral lists this long non-coding RNA (313 nucleotides) under Trifolium pratense (red clover). Its description in RNAcentral is "long non-coding RNA (TPRA_LNC010347)". Lineage: Eukaryota; Viridiplantae; Streptophyta; Magnoliopsida; Fabales; Fabaceae. The record is from RNAcentral.
UUUUUCUUUUUCUGACGUACCCAACUCGUAAGACUUACAGGUAACGCCAAGGCUUUUCAACCUUACAUUUGGUUCAGAGCUUUCAUAUGAGUUGAUCUUUAUUCCAUCAUUGGUUAGUCUUUAUUGGUCUAGAGCCGGCUGGCUUCAUUACGGUUCAGAGCCCGCAACUUAAUCAUGAUUGCUGCAAAUAAGCUUUGAUACAUUAAAGGUUCAACAGUAAUAAUAUAUGAAACAUAAAACAAACAAAAAUGAUACCGCCAUGGGUGGUUUGUUGCGGCGCUCCUCGCCUAGUAAGAAAAAAAUUAUGUUUUGG